UGGAGGACUUGGCUCAAGCGCUGACGAAGGGCGUGGCAAGCAGCGUUAUGCUCCGGCGAGGCGCAUGCAGCCGUAGAACCGGAGAUUCCUGAAUCAGACAUCUGAGCGCAAGCUGAUCCGUGAGGAUGGGAAACGCAGGGAAUUGAAACAUCUUAGUACCUGCAGGAGAAGAAAUCAAUUGAGAUGCUGUAAGUAGCAGCGAGCGAAAACAGCGAAGGCCAAACCGAAUCCUGCCCUGAAAGGGGCCGGAGAUGUGGUGUUGUAGGACCGCUCAUUAAGGGCCCUCCCUGGGCAACCGGAAUUUCCCUGGAAAGGGAAGCCACAGAGGGUGACAGCCCCGUACGGGCAAACUUAGGUGGGCCUGAGCGUGUUCCUGAGUACCGUUUAUCGGAUAUUAAACGGGAAGCCGGGAGUCAUCAACUUCCAAGCCUAAAUACGUCUUGAGACCGAUAGCGAAUAGUACCGCGAGGGAACGUUGAAAAGAACCCUUAACGGGGAGUGAAAAGAGCCUGAAAUCUAACAGCUAUAGUCGGUCAUGGCUCUAAGGAGUUAUGACAUGCGUUUCGAAUAACGUGCCAGGGAGUAUAUCUGAGUGGCAAGGCUAAUCCACUUCGUGGAGGAGCCGCAGCGAAAGCGACAAGCCCGCAGGCAACGAGGGGCGCGGAGUGAAAGCUCCGGGAGUUACUUGGAUAUGACCCGAAACCGGGCGAUCUAUUCCAGGGCUAGGUGAAGCGUGGGUAAAACCUCGUGGAGGCCUUAAGGGGUUCUGGGUGCAACCGUUCCUGUGACCUUGGAUUAGGGGUGAAAAGCCCAUCGAGCCCGGUGAUAGCUGGUUCCUGCCGAAAUAGGCCGCAGUCUAGCCUCAGGUCAGACAGCAUGUGCGGUAGAGGGACGGAUUAGGGGUUGAGGCACCGAAAGGUGUCGGCCCUUUGUCCAACUCCGAAUGUGCAUGCGUCAUAGCCUGGGAGACGGGGAGUCGGGGUAAGCUUGACUUCCGAGAGGGGAACAACCCAGACUGCAGGUAAGGCCCCUAAGUGCUGGCUAAGUGCUAAUGGGGUAAGGGCGUCUGCAGCCGAAGACAGCGAGGAGGUUGGCUCAGAAGCAGCCAUCCUUUAAAAAGUGCGUAACAGCUUACUCGUCGAGGUUGCAGGCACCUAAAAUGGACGGGGCUAAGUCAGCCGCCGAUACUGCAGACCCUGAAAAGGUGUGAUAGGCAAGGCGUUCUGCUGGGCUGGAAGCAAGUCCACGAGGACUUGUGGACCCGGCAGAAAUGAAAAUCCUGGCGGUAGUAGGAUCUGAGAAGCUUGAGAAUAGCUUCCACCGAAAGGGCAAGGGUUCCUUUACAAUGUUCGUCAGUAAAGGGUUAGCCGGUCCUAACCGACGCCCCAAUUGGGCUCAGGGAAAGGGAUAACGGUUAAUAUUCCGUUGCUGCCUGGGUAUGUGCGGCGACGCAAGUCUGGCUUGCGACGCCUCCGGCUAGGCUGACACUGUACAAGUGUUAACCGGAACAAGUCAGUGGAGUAUCGUAAUGGUGAGAAACUGAUUAAAUCCGGGAAUAGUGCGAAAGCAUUCAGCCAAUGCCAGGGGCCCGUGAAAAGCGAGCCGGAAAAAAUCCCAGGCAACCGUACCAAGAACCAGCACUGGUGCCCCUAGGUGAAAAGCCUAAGGUGUGUAGGUGUAAUCUGGCUAAGGGAAUUCGGCAAACUAGCCCCGUGACUUCGGUCUAAGGGGUCCCUGUUCCCGUCUCCGCAUGGAGGCGUUUUCAGGGCGCAGUGACAAGAUGGGCCCGACUGUUUAACAAAAACUUAACUUACCGCAACGCUGCAAAGCUGUGUAUGGUAGGUGACGUCUGCCCAGUGCCGGUACUUCAAACUCCCUUCCAAGGGAGCUAAGAGCCGGUAAACGGCGGGAGUAACUAUAACUCUCUUAAGGUGAACAGUUGCCUUAACAAAAUCGGGCUGUAUGCUGGAACAUCUCUUUGAGCUUAUGAUAGGCUACUGCUAUGGCGACAUGGCAGCGACCCCUUAAAAUUCAUAAGCGAGAGACAAUCAGCAGGAAAGGCUGGACUUUGUCCAGAAUCCCCAGAGACUGUACGCCUGACUCCUGAAAAGGAGAAGAUACAGUCCGACCCCAGCAGCGAUGUUGGGAAGCCAGCAGAAAUGACUGGCUCGCCUCGAAUGAGGUUGUAACAGACGUGAGCGAAAUACCUUGUCGUUUGAUUGACGACGUGCAUGAAUGACGUAACGAGGUCCAUGCUGUCCCUAGCCAGAGUCCUCCGAACACCCUCUCCUGGUGCAAAGGCCAGGGAUCUCCAGUGGGAAGCGAAGACCCCGUGAAACUUUACUGUAGCUUGUUGCUGCAACGCGGGUUCUGCUGUGUAGUGUAGGUGGGAGUCGCUAAAGCUGGGCUGCAAGGUUCAGUGUAGACGCCGAUGAAACACCACUCUGUGGGACUUGCGCUGCUAACUUCGCAAGAAGGACAACUAUAAGCAGACAGUUUGGCUGGGGUGGCACUCUGCUGAAAAGGUAUCAGCAGAGCCCUAAGGUUGGCUCAGGCGGGUUGGAAAUCCGCCGUGGAGUGCAAAGGCAUAAGCCAGCCUGACUGGAUUUGCAACAAGAACAAAUCCAGAGGCGAAAGCCGGGCUUAGCGAACCCCUGUGUCCCCCUUGAUUGGGGCCAGGGAUGACCGAAAAGUUACUCCGGGGAUAACAGAGUUGUCUCGCCCGAGAGCUCCUAUCGACGGCGAGGCUUGCUACAUCGAUGUCGGCUCUUCCUAUCCUAGCCGUGCAGAAAAGCCUCAUGGGCUACUGUAGGCGGCUAAGGGUGGGGGUGUUCACCCAUUAAAAGGGAUCGCGAGCUGGGUUCACAACGUUGUGAGACAGUUGGUUUGAUAUCUACUGGAGAUGCGAGGAUGUCUGAGGGAAAGGGACGUCUAGUACGAGAGGAACGAUGUCCCGGCGCCUCUGGUCAACCGGUUGUCCAACAGGGCAGGCCGGGCAGCUACGCGCUAGAGGAUAAGUACUGAAAGCAUCUAAGUACGAAACCUCCCUCGAAAAUAGACAUCUCAGACACCCAUAGAACAUGGGUUUGAUAGAGCAGGGGUGUAAGUA
RNAcentral lists this ribosomal RNA (3109 nucleotides) under Candidatus Woesearchaeota archaeon. RNAcentral describes it as "23S ribosomal RNA". It matches the Rfam family "Archaeal large subunit ribosomal RNA". The record is from RNAcentral. Lineage: Archaea; Nanobdellati; Candidatus Woesearchaeota.